GGUAGUAACACGUGGAUAACCUACCUAUAAGACUGGGAUAACUUCGGGAAACCGGAGCUAAUACCGGAUAAUAUUUUGAACCGCAUGGUUCAAAAGUGAAAGACGGUCUUGCUGUCACUUAUAGAUGGAUCCGCGCUGCAUUAGCUAGUUGGUAAGGUAACGGCUUACCAAGGCAACGAUGCAUAGCCGACCUGAGAGGGUGAUCGGCCACACUGGAACUGAGACACGGUCCAG
RNAcentral lists this ribosomal RNA (234 nucleotides) under uncultured Staphylococcus sp. Its description in RNAcentral is "partial 16S ribosomal RNA". It matches the Rfam family "Bacterial small subunit ribosomal RNA", at positions 105 to 334 of the family's 1533-position model. Lineage: Bacteria; Bacillati; Bacillota; Bacilli; Caryophanales; Staphylococcaceae. The record is from RNAcentral.